Long non-coding RNA from Vollenhovia emeryi, 404 nucleotides. RefSeq lists it as uncharacterized. NCBI's taxonomy places the organism in Eukaryota, Metazoa, Arthropoda, Insecta, Hymenoptera, Formicidae. The transcript is spliced from 2 exons. The record is from RefSeq and is a predicted model, not a curated record.
UAAAUUAGUCACUCCACGAAAUCAAAUGUAGAGUAAUACGUAACGAGACGUAAUACAUUUAUUUUUCUUAUUUCUUAUUUCACUACGUGAAAACGAAUAUGAAAAUCAUAAUUUUCUUAUUUGCUGUAAUUGCGAUCUUAGUCGCAGUUAAUAUCCCGGCUAUUAAUGCAAUGUCUGACGCCGACGCUAUCCCUCCGGUUAAUCAAGCUGCUAUAGAAAAAUGGGCCAAGGAAUCAAAGGCUCAGCUUGACAAAAUGUUGAACGGAAAAUAAGGAUAAUAUGGAUAAUAAGAACAAUAACCUCUUAAUGUUUGAUCCUACUUAAUACGUUGUCGAUAGACAUUAAAUAAAUGGAUUAAAUUUGGUUUGUGAAUUUUAAAUAAACGCAGCAGCAAAUUAAAUUAA